UACAGAGGUCUCAAGCGUUGUUCGGAUUCAUUGGGCGUAAAGGGUGCGUAGGCGGCCUGACAAGUCUGAUGUGAAAUCCCUGGGCUCAACCCAGGGCCUGCAUCGGAAACUGUCGGGCUUGAGUAUGGGAGAGGUGAGUGGAAUUUCCGGUGUAGCGGUGAAAUGCGUAGAUAUUGGGAAGAACACCGGUGGCGAAGGCGGCUCUCUGGACCGUAACUGACGCUGAGGCGCGAAAGCGUGGGGAGCAAACAGG
Molecule: ribosomal RNA, 253 nt
Filed under: uncultured bacterium
Lineage: Bacteria
Description: partial 16S ribosomal RNA
Rfam family: Bacterial small subunit ribosomal RNA
Source: RNAcentral